Oreochromis aureus is the source of this 319-nucleotide long non-coding RNA. RefSeq lists it as uncharacterized. The record is from RefSeq and is a predicted model, not a curated record. NCBI's taxonomy places the organism in Eukaryota, Metazoa, Chordata, Actinopteri, Cichliformes, Cichlidae. The transcript has 3 exons.
GCUCCGUUUUGCGAAAUACGGAAAGUUUGCUGUUGCGCAAGGCAGAAUUUUCUCCCCCAUCCAGAAUAUUCCGACGCCAUUACUUUCAGUGCGGUCAGUGCCUACCUAAAUUUCUGCAAGUCACAAGGAAAGUUGGAAACAGAAAACAUUGCAGCCCAAAGAGAGUGGCCCAUGCAGAUUCAUCAGAGCUGUCAAAGCAUUGGAAGCAGAUUCACAAACUCCACCGCAGUUCACCCGGCCUGGCCCCUCAUCAACACCUGAACCACAGAGGUUUCAGCUGCCCUCAACACCACCUGAGACAGCCGACUCCCAUCCCAAG